This 484-nucleotide ribosomal RNA is filed under the name uncultured bacterium. RNAcentral's name for it is "partial 16S ribosomal RNA". It matches the Rfam family "Bacterial small subunit ribosomal RNA", at positions 29 to 507 of the family's 1533-position model. The record is from RNAcentral.
AUUGAACGCUGGCGGCAUGCUUUACACAUGCAAGUCGAACGGCAGCGCGGGCUUCGGCCUGGCGGCGAGUGGCGAACGGGUGAGUAAUGCAUCGGAACGUGCCCAGUAGUGGGGGAUAGCCCGGCGAAAGCCGGAUUAAUACCGCAUACGACCUGAGGGUGAAAGCGGGGGACCGAAAGGCCUCGCGCUAUUGGAGCGGCCGAUGUCGGAUUAGCUAGUUGGUGGGGUAAAGGCUUACCAAGGCGACGAUCCGUAGCUGGUCUGAGAGGACGACCAGCCACACUGGGACUGAGACACGGCCCAGACACCUACGGGAGGCAGCAGUGGGGAAUUUUGGACAAUGGGGGCAACCCUGAUCCAGCCAUGCCGCGUGCGGGAAGAAGGCCUUCGGGUUGUAAACCGCUUUUGUUCGGGAAGAAAUCCUCUGGGCUAAUACCCCGGGGGGAUGACGGUACCGGAAGAAUAAGCACCGGCUAACUACGUG